AAUUAACAGUAUUUACCUUAUAGUGUUUUGUUGGGGCUAAUAUGAGUUAAAAGAGGUAAAUUGCUUAGAAGAUAUUUAAGAAGUACUGUGCAACUGUUUGCCAUUACUGUUAUCCUUGUUGUCAUUGUUAGAGUCUCAGUGAAAGAUACUCUUUUUUUUUUUUUUUUUUUUGCGGCGAACUCAAGAACACUGGAAAACAACAAUACCACUGGUUUCUUAGAUUUUUGCAAGGAUCACAGCUGAAAAAACAUCAAAGAAAUGAAGGAUUCUGAAAGCUCUGGUAAAAACACAAAGGAUUCUUCGAGGCUUCUUUUCUCUUAACUGACAUGGAGAUUCAGGUCAGCAGCCAGAGACUGUAAGCAUAUUGCAGUGGAUAUCCCUGCCUAGUCCGGAUUCUUUUUGCAACUUGUCUGCGAGGCAAGGAGGGAUACAGAUGUGCGAGUGAGGGGAAGUCCGCAGGAAGCCGGGUGAGGCAGGCUCAUCCCUCAUCACUCCGUGCGCACAGAGCAGCUCAGGCUCUCUCACUGGCAAUAGCAAGAGGAGUUAACUAACGUGCUGGGAGUAGGUGACGGCCCAUGGGACCACGACUGAAUGCAUUUGUACCUCUACAGGCGUUUUAAAGAUAAAUGGUAAAACUGAACUGGAAAUCCAUCUGGCCGGCUGCCUGCUCUAAUGAAUAACCCCACUUUGGCUCGUGCAAUGUAAGCAGAAAGUUCUCUCCCGGCCUCUUUCGUCUGUCAUGAAUCUACAAGACAGCCGACAUAAUAUCUGGGCGACAACGGACUUCUUCCCUUUGGAAAGCAGUGUGGUGGCAGUGUCACAGGCAUCCUGUGUGUUUGCAGCAGGUUCCUUCCAGAAGCAGCUGAGGAAGACAGCAAGCAAGUGGCAUUUGGGGUCUUGUAUCAUGUUGGAACACAGCCGUAGUACAUAGACUUCCUGAAAAAAAGACUUCCAGGUAAAAACAUAUUGUGGACACGGUAACAAAUUGGAGAGGGUCAAGCAUCAGGAACACAUGUUCCCUUUUGGCUUCAA
RNAcentral lists this long non-coding RNA (1032 nucleotides) under Rhinopithecus bieti (black snub-nosed monkey). RNAcentral describes it as "lncRNA (ENSRBIG00000046799.1)". Lineage: Eukaryota; Metazoa; Chordata; Mammalia; Primates; Cercopithecidae. The record is from RNAcentral.